GACGAACGCUGGCGGCGUGCUUAACACAUGCAAGUCGAACGGAAAGGCCCUGCUUUUGUGGGGUGCUCGAGUGGCGAACGGGUGAGUAACACGUGAGUAACCUGCCCUUGACUUUGGGAUAACUUCAGGAAACUGGGGCUAAUACCGGAUAGGAGCUCCUGUUGCAUGGUGGGGGUUGGAAAGUUUCGGCGGUUGGGGAUGGACUCGCGGCCUAUCAGCUUGUUGGUGGGGUAGUGGCUUACCAAGGCUUUGACGGGUAGCCGGCCUGAGAGGGUGACCGGCCACAUUGGGACUGAGAUACGGCCCAGACUCCUACGGGAGGCAGCAGUGGGGAAUAUUGCACAAUGGGCGGAAGCCUGAUGCAGCAACGCCGCGUGCGGGAUGACGGCCUUCGGGUUGUAAACCGCUUUCGCCUGUGACGAAGCGUGAGUGACGGUAAUGGGUAAAGAAGCACCGGCUAACUACGUG
Molecule: ribosomal RNA, 468 nt
Filed under: uncultured bacterium
Lineage: Bacteria
Description: partial 16S ribosomal RNA
Rfam family: Bacterial small subunit ribosomal RNA
Source: RNAcentral